RNAcentral lists this ribosomal RNA (253 nucleotides) under uncultured bacterium. Its description in RNAcentral is "partial 16S ribosomal RNA". It matches the Rfam family "Bacterial small subunit ribosomal RNA", at positions 524 to 776 of the family's 1533-position model. The record is from RNAcentral.
UACGGGGGGGGCAAGCGUUGUUCGGAAUUACUGGGCGUAAAGGGCUCGUAGGUGGCCAACUAAGUCAGACGUGAAAUCCCUCAGCUUAACUGGGGAACUGCGUCUGAUACUGGAUGGCUUGAGAUUGGGAGAGGGAUGCGGAAUUCCAGGUGUAGCGGUGAAAUGCGUAGAUAUCUGGAGGAACACCGGUGGCGAAGGCGGCAUCCUGGACCGACAUUGACGCUGAUGAGCGAAAGCUAGGGGAGCAAACGGG